GGGCCCGCACAAGCGGUGGAGUAUGUGGUUUAAUUCGAUGAUACGCGAGGAACCUUACCUGGGCUCUAAUGCGAGUGACCGCUCCUGAAAGGGAGCUUUCCUUCGGGACACGAAGCAAGGUGCUGCAUGGUUGUCGUCAGCUCGUGCCGUGAGGUGUUGGGUUAAGUCCCGCAACGAGCGCAACCCCUAUCUUUAGUUGCCAGCGAUUCGGUCGGGGACUCUAGAGAGACUGCCUGCGCAAGCAGAGAGGAAGGCGGGGACGACGUCAAAUCAUCAUGGCCUUUAUGCCCAGGGCUACACACGUGCUACAAUGGUAAGGACAAAGGGCAGCGAGCCGGCGACGGUCAGCGAAUCCCAAAAACUUAUCUCAGUUCGGAUUGGAGUCUGCAACUCGACUCCAUGAAGCUGGAAUCGCUAGUAAUCGUAGGUC
RNAcentral lists this ribosomal RNA (430 nucleotides) under uncultured bacterium. RNAcentral's name for it is "bacterial SSU rRNA". It matches the Rfam family "Bacterial small subunit ribosomal RNA", at positions 917 to 1350 of the family's 1533-position model. The record is from RNAcentral.